GGAAUAUUGGACAAUGGAGGAAACUCUGAUCCAGCCAUGCCGCGUGAAGGAUGAAGGCCCUCUGGGUUGUAAACUUCUUUUCUUAGGGAAGAAACCUCUGGAUUUAUCCGGAGUUGACGGUACCUAAGGAAUAAGCACCGGCUAACUCCGUGCCAGCAGCCGCGGUAAUACGGAGGGUGCAAGCGUUAUCCGGAUUCCCUGGGUUUAAAGGGUGCGUAGGCGGAUCGGUAAGUCAGAGGUGAAAGCCCCGAGCUCAACUUGGGAAUUGCCUUUGAUACUGUCGAUCUUGAAUAUAGUUGAAGUAGGCGGAAUGAGUCGUGUAGCGGUGAAAUGCAUAGAUAUGACUCAGAACACCGAUUGCGAAGGCAGCUUGCUAAACUAUCAUUGACGCUGAUGCACGAAAGCGUGGGUAGCA
RNAcentral lists this ribosomal RNA (415 nucleotides) under uncultured bacterium. RNAcentral describes it as "bacterial SSU rRNA". It matches the Rfam family "Bacterial small subunit ribosomal RNA", at positions 358 to 770 of the family's 1533-position model. The record is from RNAcentral.